UAGUUGGAUCCUGGCUCACAUUGAACGCUGGCGGCAUGCUUUACACAUGCAAGUCGAACGCGGUUCGGGGGCAACCCCGGACUGAGUGGCGAACGGGUGAGUAAUGCAUCGGAACGUGCCCCGUCGUGGGGGAUAACCAGUCGAAAGACUGGCUAAUACCGCAUACGACCCGGGGGUGAGAGCGGAGGACCCGCGAGGGCCUCGCGCGAUGGGAGCGGCCGAUGCCGGAUUAGCUAGUAGGUGGGGUAAAGGCCCACCUAGGCGACGAUCUGUAGCUGGUCUGAGAGGAUGAUCAGCCACACUGGGACUGAGACACGGCCCAGACUCCUACGGGAGGCAGCAGUGGGGAAUUUUGGACAAUGGGCGCAAGCCUGAUCCAGCCAUGCCGCGUGAGUGAAGAAGGCCUUCGGGUUGUAAAGCUCUUUCGGCCGGAACGAAAUCGCCCCUCCGAAUACGGGGGGUGGAUGACGGUACCGGAAGAAGAAGCACCGGCUAACUACGUGCCAGCAGCCGCGGUAAUACGUAGGGUGCGAGCGUUAAUCGGAAUUACUGGGCGUAAAGCGUGCGCAGGCGGUGCGUUAAGACAGCUGUGAAAGCCCCGGGCUUAACCUGGGAAUGGCGGUUGUUACUGGCGCGCUGGAGUGUGGCAGAGGGAGGUGGAAUUCCACGUGUAGCAGUGAAAUGCGUAGAGAUGUGGAGGAACACCGAUGGCGAAGGCAGCCUCCUGGGCCAACACUGACGCUCAUGCACGAAAGCGCGGGGAGCAAACAGGAUUAGAUACCCUGGUAGUCCACGCCCUAAACGAUGUCGACUGGUUGUUGGGGAAGGAAACUUCCUUAGUAACGAAGCUAACGCGUGAAGUCGACCGCCUGGGGA
RNAcentral lists this ribosomal RNA (876 nucleotides) under uncultured bacterium. Its description in RNAcentral is "bacterial SSU rRNA". It matches the Rfam family "Bacterial small subunit ribosomal RNA", at positions 9 to 879 of the family's 1533-position model. The record is from RNAcentral.